AAGCAAUGAGUUUUGAUUUUCAUCAGACUCUGAUUUGAUUCCCAGCAACUUGAGUGAGAACAAGACCAGGCCUGUUACUCUCCUAGUUCUGUACUCAUCUCUGUCUCAGUUUUCAUAUGCCAUCAGAUUUGUCAUUUUGUAUUUCAGGCCCAGAAAAUAAUGCAUGCUUGCUGUUAACAGUGAGAGCUGUGGCCGUCAUCUUGUGGAAUGAGGAGCUUGGAACACAAGUCAGAUUCAAGAACUUUUUGGCAUUUUGUUAGCAAGCCUUUCUUCGUUUAUCUGCAUGUUUGCUGCUCUGAUGAAAUAGGACUUCCCAAGGGAGGAUUAAUGGUAAAUUAUAAUGUAUCAAUCCCAUCUGUGGGGCUGGCUGUUUUGCAUUCCUUAGAUUAACCUUCUUGGUUUAUAUUGAAUUUAAAAUAUCAUCAUUUCAAUACCAAAAUUAUUUCCUUCUCUCUUAUAUACCAAAUUCCUCUUCUUUGCUCCCUAUCCAUGUACUAAAUUAGUAGCAGGCUGCUUGGCUACUGCUAACAGGUAUUACCAACCGGUUAACUGGUUCAGAGGGGCAUCGGAACAAAGAAUGUGCCAGGAACUAAUGGUACAAUGGCAUUUUGUUGCAGUGACUUACAAUAUGAUUAACCCCAGCAGAAGGAAAGAACACUUCAGGAACGAUGAUCUGUAAAGGUGCAUAUAAAAGUCUGGAACAUUAAUGCAGCAAUUCUUUAUCCAGUUGAAUCUCUUGUGUCAAAGGAGUAAGAAAAGAUGCGCUUUGGCAGGACAACAUACAGUUUUUCCUCUCUCUGUUAUAUAGAGAUAAAAAUCUGUAUACAUAGUAUCCUA
This is a long non-coding RNA of Oxyura jamaicensis (ruddy duck), 837 nucleotides long. RefSeq lists it as uncharacterized. The record is from RefSeq and is a predicted model, not a curated record. The transcript has 2 exons. Lineage: Eukaryota; Metazoa; Chordata; Aves; Anseriformes; Anatidae.